RNAcentral lists this unclassified non-coding RNA (269 nucleotides) under uncultured fungus. RNAcentral describes it as "partial contains 5.8S ribosomal RNA, internal transcribed spacer 2, and large subunit ribosomal RNA". The record is from RNAcentral. Lineage: Eukaryota; Fungi.
AACGCACAUUGCGCCCCUUGGUAUUCCAUAGGGCAUGCCUGUUCGAGCGUCAUUUCAAACCUUCAAGUAUAUAUUAUUUAUUGCUUGGUGUUGAGCGUUUGUCCCUGGCUUAAGUUCGCGGACUCGCUUUAAAGCUAUUGGCGGUUGAUCUUCCGGCUCUUAAGCGCAGCAAAGUUGGCGCCCGAGACGUUGGUAGACAGCAUCCAUUAAGCCUAUUUUUUUUUUCUCGUCUUGACCUCGGAUCAGGUAGGGAUACCCGCUGAACUUAA